UGGAGAUUUGGCCGAGUGGUUUAAGGCAGCGGUCUUGAAAAUCGCCGGGCGCCUCUGGCGUUCCCUGGGUUCGAAUCCCAGAGUCUCCGCCAA
This 93-nucleotide transfer RNA is filed under the name Acidithiobacillus ferrooxidans ATCC 23270. Its description in RNAcentral is "tRNA-Ser". It matches the Rfam family "tRNA". From Rfam's summary of the family: Transfer RNA (tRNA) molecules are approximately 80 nucleotides in length. Their secondary structure includes four short double-helical elements and three loops (D, anti-codon, and T loops). Further hydrogen bonds mediate the characteristic L-shaped molecular structure. tRNAs have two regions of fundamental functional importance: the anti-codon, which is responsible for specific mRNA codon recognition, and the 3' end, to which the tRNAs corresponding amino acid is attached (by aminoacyl-tRNA synthetases). tRNAs cope with the degeneracy of the genetic code in two manners: having more than one tRNA (with a specific anti-codon) for a particular amino acid; and 'wobble' base-pairing, i.e. permitting non-standard base-pairing at the 3rd anti-codon position. Lineage: Bacteria; Pseudomonadati; Pseudomonadota; Acidithiobacillia; Acidithiobacillales; Acidithiobacillaceae. The record is from RNAcentral.